GAUGAACGCUGGCGGCGUGCCUAAUACAUGCAAGUCGAGCGAACAGACGAGGAGCUUGCUCCUCUGACGUUAGCGGCGGACGGGUGAGUAACACGUGGAUAACCUACCUAUAAGACUGGGAUAACUUCGGGAAACCGGAGAUAAUACCGGAGAAUAUAUUGAACCGCAUGGUUCAAUAGUGAAAGACGGUUUUGCUGUCACUUAUAGAUGGAUCCGCGCCGCAUUAGCUAGUUGGUAAGGUAACGGCCUACCAAGGCAACGAUGCGUAGCCGACCUGAGAGGGUGAUCGGCCACACUGGAACUGAGACACGGUCCAGACUCCUACGGGAGGCAGCAGUAGGGAAUCUUCCGCAAUGGGCGAAAGCCUGACGGAGCAACGCCGCGUGAGUGAUGAAGGUCUUCGGAUCGUAAAACUCUGUUAUUAGGGAAGAACAAAUGUGUAAGUAACUAUGCACGUCUUGACGGUACCUAAUCAGAAAGCCACGGCUAACUACGUG
Molecule: ribosomal RNA, 497 nt
Filed under: uncultured bacterium
Lineage: Bacteria
Description: partial 16S ribosomal RNA
Rfam family: Bacterial small subunit ribosomal RNA
Source: RNAcentral